AUACGGAGGGUGCGAGCGUUGUUCGGAAUCACUGGGCGUAAAGGGCGCGCAGGCGGUCUGUCAAGUCAGAUGUGAAAGCCCACGGCUCAACCGUGGACGUGCAUCUGAAACUGGCAGACUCGAGUACCGGAGGGGAAAGUGGAAUUCCCGGUGUAGAGGUGAAAUUCGUAGAUAUCGGGAGGAAUACCGGAGGCGAAGGCGACUUUCUGGACGGAUACUGACGCUGAGGCGCGAAAGCGUGGGGAGCGAACAGGAUUAGAAACCCGAGUAGUCC
This 274-nucleotide ribosomal RNA is filed under the name uncultured bacterium. RNAcentral describes it as "partial 16S ribosomal RNA". It matches the Rfam family "Bacterial small subunit ribosomal RNA", at positions 523 to 796 of the family's 1533-position model. The record is from RNAcentral.